RNAcentral lists this ribosomal RNA (253 nucleotides) under uncultured bacterium. RNAcentral's name for it is "partial 16S ribosomal RNA". It matches the Rfam family "Bacterial small subunit ribosomal RNA", at positions 524 to 776 of the family's 1533-position model. The record is from RNAcentral.
UACGGGGGGGGCAAGCGUUGUUCGGAAUUACUGGGCGUAAAGGGCUCGUAGGCGGCCAACUAAGUCGGAUGUGAAAUCCCCAGGCUUAACCUGGGAACUGCAUCCGAUACUGGAUGGCUUGAAUCCGGGAGAGGGAUGCAGAAUUCCAGGUGUAGCGGUGAAAUGCGUAGAUAUCUGGAGGAAUACCGGUGGCGAAGGCGGCAUCCUGGACCAUUACUGACGCUGAGGCGCGAAAGCUAGGGGAGCAAACGGG